Acanthosepion pharaonis is the source of this 81-nucleotide non-coding RNA. The record is from the annotation of a GenBank genome assembly. Lineage: Eukaryota; Metazoa; Mollusca; Cephalopoda; Sepiida; Sepiidae.
UUCCCGUAAGAUCACCGAAGUUAAGCAACCUCGAGCCUGGUCAGUACCUAGAUGGUUCACCGUUUGGGAAUACCAGUGCAG